Tribolium castaneum (red flour beetle) is the source of this 1090-nucleotide long non-coding RNA. RefSeq lists it as uncharacterized. NCBI's taxonomy places the organism in Eukaryota, Metazoa, Arthropoda, Insecta, Coleoptera, Tenebrionidae. The transcript has 2 exons. The record is from RefSeq and is a predicted model, not a curated record.
GUCCAUGUCGAAGCCAGGGAUGUUUAAGGAAAAGUCUCGCGCCACACUCCCGAAGAAGGCCGCUUCAGAAGCACAAACACAAGUGUUAGGGGACUCUGAACGUGUCCUUACGCCACGAAGGAUACCGAAGGAGUGAAGGCGUCUAGCUAAGACAUGGGUUUAAGGCGCUCCUUUGGGGAAAGACGGCGCCGUUGCAGGAGGCCUGCCGACGACUGACACAAGACGUCGCAGGGGAACGACGCGCGCCGCCGUCUGCCAUCCCCACCCCCGGACUCGCCACGCCCCCGGAGGGGAAGCCCUAAUUAAGUCGUAUUUUUAAGUAGCUACUAAGAUUUUUAAAGGACGACUCUCGGUUUCAUUGUUUAUUAACGCUCUUCGCGCCCGGAAAACGGCCCGCGCCCGGAGCCGUUCCGGGCAGCGGCACGGCGCGACUUGGCCAGGCCCGGACUUGCAUUUCGGAAAAAUUUGCGACAAAUCACGUGCAGUCAGAAAUACAAACACCAUCGAGGCAUACUUCAGCGUAUUUUGGCUUGAUGGCUCUGUUUUUCAUUGUUUUUAUAUCGGGAUUCUCUCCACAAUAAGCACAAAAAACUCGAAGCGAUAGAAAACUGAAGUAUGGUUCGAUAACUUUAAAUCAAGCUUUUAGUAGUUUUGUAUUGAAAGAGGGAUGGUUUUGUCUGAAUCGAUGGAAUAGCUAUUGGAAAAAUAUUAUUCUAGGAUUUGAGAUUACACACUAAAUAAUAAAUGGAAAAGAAUUGUGGUAAACUCGGGUGCUCGGGAAUCGACGGACACUUCACCAGCGAAAACCUUUUUUAAAUUUAGCUUCACGUGAGCAAACGAACUAAGGAGUUUGUAUUAGCAAUUAAUUAAUUUAACAGUCUUUACACAUUCACUUUUUUAAUAAUGUCCAUCGUGAAAAAUCCCCGAAAAAAAUUAAACCCGAACACGAAUUUUAAUUUGUGUACUCACAAUUUUAUUCCUGUUCACUUGAUCAUUUUUAUUUUAUAGCCUAAUAUUGACGUUUAAUGCCAAUAAUUUAAUUAGCGCAAUUUGGGGACACAUUUUUUUUAAUUAAACGCUUUUUAAUUUU